AACCUAUCAGCCAUACCGCGUGCUGUGAAGAAGGCCUUCGGGUUGUAAAGUGCUUUCACCCAGAAGGAAAAGCUCUCGGUUAAUACCCGUUUAGCCUUGACGUUACCCUCAGAAUAAGCACCGGCUAACUCCGUGCCAGCAGCCGCGGUAAUACGGAGGGUGCAAGCGUUAAUCGGAAUUACUGGGCGUAAAGCGCGCGUAGGCGGUUUGUUAAGUUCGAUGUGAAAUCCCCGGGCUCAACCUGGGAACUGCAUAUUGUGACUGGCCAGCUAGAGUACAGCAGAGGGGGGUGGAAUUUCCACGUGUAGCCGUGAAAAUGCGUAGAUAUUGGAAGGAACCCCAGUGGCGAAGGCCACCCCUUGGGACUGAUACUGACGCUUAGGUGCGAAAGCGUGGGGAGCAAACAGGAUUAGAUUCCCUGGUAUGUCCCCGCCCUAUAACGAUGUUUAAUUUGCCGUUGGGUAAUUUACUUUCUCGGUGGCGAAGCUAACCGCGUAAGU
Molecule: ribosomal RNA, 500 nt
Filed under: uncultured Gammaproteobacteria bacterium
Lineage: Bacteria; Pseudomonadati; Pseudomonadota; Gammaproteobacteria
Description: bacterial SSU rRNA
Rfam family: Bacterial small subunit ribosomal RNA
Source: RNAcentral